RNAcentral lists this ribosomal RNA (253 nucleotides) under uncultured bacterium. RNAcentral's name for it is "partial 16S ribosomal RNA". It matches the Rfam family "Bacterial small subunit ribosomal RNA", at positions 524 to 776 of the family's 1533-position model. The record is from RNAcentral.
UACGUAGGGGGCUAGCGUUGUCCGGAAUCAUUGGGCGUAAAGAGCGUGUAGGCGGCCCGGUAAGUCCGCUGUAAAAGUCCAAGGCUCAACCUUUGAAUGUCAGUGGAUACUGCCGGGCUAGAGUCCGGAAGAGGCGAGUGGAACUCCUGGUGUAGCGGUGGAAUGCGCAGAUAUCAGGAGGAACACCGGUGGCGAAGGCGGGUCUCUGGGCAGUAACUGACGCUGAGGAGCGAAAGCGUGGGGAGCGAACAGG